GAUGAACGCUGGCGGCGUGCCUAAUACAUGCAAGUCGAGCGAACAGACGAGGAGCUUGCUCCUCUGACGUUAGCGGCGGACGGGUGAGUAACACGUGGAUAACCUACCUAUAAGACUGGGAUAACUUCGGGAAACCGGAGCUAAUACCGGAUAAUAUAUUGAACCGCAUGGUUCAAUAGUGAAAGACGGCUUUGGUGUCACUUAUAGAUGGAUCCGCGCCGCAUUAGCUAGUUGGUAAGGUAACGGCUUACCAAGGCAACGAUGCGUAGCCGACCUGAGAGGAUGAUCGGCCACACUGGAACUGAGACACGGUCCAGACUCCUACGGGAGGCAGCAGUAGGGAAUCUUCCGCAAUGGGCGAAAGCCUGACGGAGCAACGCCGCGUGAGUGAUGAAGGUCUUCGGAUCGUAAAACUCUGUUAUUAGGGAAGAACAAAUGUGUAAGUAACUAUGCACGUCUUGACGGUACCUAAUCAGAAAGCCACGGCUAACUACGUG
This 497-nucleotide ribosomal RNA is filed under the name uncultured bacterium. RNAcentral's name for it is "partial 16S ribosomal RNA". It matches the Rfam family "Bacterial small subunit ribosomal RNA", at positions 28 to 507 of the family's 1533-position model. The record is from RNAcentral.